AAAAAUUAGAGCUGUUCUGAGAUCCUGCACAAAGGACUUGGUCCCAACCAGCAUGGUGCCAGAGAAAGCGAAUGGCUUUCUGCAAAGACAGCUCAGGUAACAAAGAAGUCUUUGUUCCUGCUCUAUGCUUGGGCUGUGCCUUGGAUAUUAGUUGGAAACCCGAUAGCCUGACAUCGCUAGAAGUCUGCGAGUACAAUGUGAGUCGUCUGCAACCGGGAUUAAAUCAGGCCUUUUGUACGGAGAUGCUGAGGGGCCAUGCGAUCUCGGAGCAGCGAUGCUUAUGGAAGGCAGGAGAUUUUUAACCCUUUGUGCCCGUGGAGGGGAGCCGGGAGGGGGGGGGUGUUGCUGCUGUGAGCGUUUGCAGGGGAGGCGGCAGCUGGUGCAGCCAGGGCUGCUGCGUGUGCCCGCUGCUGGCGCGCCCGGGUCAUUCCUGUCGAAAAAGCAAAUGAUGCUUCGCACGGAGCAGAUGAAAUCCAGCCCCGUGCGAAGGCCCAGGUGGAGCUGGGAUCCCCGGCCGGGGGGAUGCACAGGCACCUCCCAGCCCUGCCCAGUGCCCCCGGGGCUGGCCCAGCGCUCCCUGCCCGCGGGGCAGCUCUUCACCAGUCCCUGGGGGCAGAGACGCUUCAGUUUUUUAAACUGGACAAAUCAGGACUAGGAGCCAAGGUUCACCGACGGCUCAGAGACGUGAGUUGUUCUGUGAAAUCUCGUGAAGUAGCAUGAAAAAUACAGGAGUAUCUUUAUUUGCCUGGUGGGUUUGAAUUCUGGGCACCACGUUCUCAAGCGUUCCUCUCCCCCAAGGGAUGUGCAGCCGAGACCGGGAGGUUGGGACCCUCACAGAGGGAGCACCGGGGACAAGAGCGUUACCAAAGACCCCAAGGGCGGGCGGUGGGAAGGCACGGGCAGCGUUCAGUGGGCCCCAAAUGACACCGAAAAGUGGGGGAUGCUCACGUGUGGGAGCUUCUCCAGAGGAGAGGCCAAUCUGGUCCACACUGGGUUUGUUCCUAUGAAGCAGCGACGUCCAAAACCGCAUCCACCAGCCCCCGCUGCCCCCCCCCCCCCCGGCACGGUCCCGCUCUGCCUGGGCAGGAUGUCGCUGCCUUGCAAGCGGCAGAAGGGAAGGACUUGCAAACGCAGCGCGUAAAAUGCCACAGGAUUUCAGGACGUAAAAAGGAAGCACUAAGGUGAACACUCAUGAAGCUAAUGCUUAGGGAAAAUUAAGUCAUCAGGACUUUACAAAAUAGCCUCUGGUUCACAAUAGUUCAAUUUAUAAGAUGAUGAAAAAUGAAUUAACUUUAGUGGUUUGCUGGCAUCGCCCACAGUGAGCUAGACUUUCCAGAUGCUCGAAGAUCGUUCCUGCUCCACCAAGCUUCCACAAAUUCCCACCUGGUUCAAGUUUAAGAAAACAACAGAACAAAGUCAAUCAUACAAACUCCAUCAUAAACUACCAAGGAGAGUUAAAUACUGAUUAUCCAUAUAGAGGGGUACUAUUUUUUAUUUAUGUCUCACUGAGUUAUUUUAGGAAAUAUAAAACUUUUACUGUUCCUGCAUUCAAACUAAUUCUUUUGUGCUGUAUAUAUGAUCUAAUUUCUUUUUUUUCUUCUCCCCACCCCCAGUCAAAUGUGUAACCCUAUGGUUUGUGUUUCAGAGAUGGGAAUUUGAAGGGAAAAAAAAGCCCAAGAGGUCUACUGUAGUACAAGUAUCAUAGGCAGGAAAAUUUGCUUUAGCAUUUCCUAGCGUUUACACUAACCAUACAAUCUCAAUGUUGUAUUAUGUUAGCACUAUCCUGUUUUUUUAGUGAUCUAAAUUAGAAAAAAUUAUAUGUGUUCAACAUGUGAACCUAAGUGCCCCAUACGCUGUAAAGGUUUUCACCUAACUGACAUAAAUGGGACCCAAUAUACUUAACCGAUGCAAAAAAGCUGUUUGAUUGCAGCAAUGGACAAGCAUACCAACACUGUAAAAAUAUCAUGAUCCAUACUGAGGUACCUGGAGAACCAAACAGGAAAAACAUACAGCUUAAGGUUGAAGAGGUGUAAAGAAACUAAACCAGCCAGCCAACCUUGCAGAAGAAACAAACAGGAAAAUCCUUGUGAAGGGCUGAGUUCCGAAAUCGCUGCGGAUCUCUGUGGGAAACGACUGGAACAGUUUUAGUCCCUUAAUUCUUAUUAUUCAGUUAUGCAUUUUUUCAAAUGGGAAACCAUCAAGUGUCUAAAGGAAUUUCGUUCAAACUUUCCAGAAAACAACAUGGUUGGCAAAACUAAGCAUGAAAUAUUUACAUUGGCAAGGCAAACUUUUCAGAAAUUCUGAAUGCAAAUCAGGUUUUUCAGAUGAAAUUGUCUUUAAUCUCAAUUACAAAAUAGUCACCUCCAGACAUCCAAGUAGGGAAGGACAAGAAGCGAUGGAGGAGGUCGGCCCCCCCGACACCUUUUCAGCAUGACGCCCCGUGCCGCCCGGCUCGGGAGGCCAGUGGUGUGACAGCCCCCGUUGCCAGACCCCUGGGACCCGGCUCAGCCCCCCCGGAGCCCGACCCCCCUGCGACACAGCCCUUCGCCCACGGCCGGGGCGGCCGCUGUGGGCACAGCCCGUGCCGGGCCUGGGGACCUGCACCCCUGCCAGCACAGAGCACUUCUGCACCCAAACCUCCUCACCCUUCCCAGGAGCUGGAGCAGGGCCACACAAACAAACAAACACAUCUCCUCCAGAGGAAUCCCUUCCUCAUGAUCCUGCUCCGCAUUCGCUGCAAUGUCGAGCUCAUCUGAUGAUUUUACACGUUUGUCUGAGUCCAUCCAGUCACUGUGUUCGCUCUAAUUUUGAGAGGGAGGGGGAUGCAAUAGUUUCCUUAACUGUUCCGGGCAGAAAUGUUGAAAAUCUUCCCAAUAAUGUCAGCCACCAGACUUAGAGACCUGUCCUUCAAAAUAUUCAAGUUCCUUUCACUGAAUAUCCCUGCUAGGAGCAGAAAUCACUGCCAAGAGAAACCUAUCAGCUUUUUUGCAAAGUAACUGUUGGGUGCCCAUGCUCUAAAGACAGGACUCGUCACUUUGGCUGGUACGUGACGUGUAGCGGCAACCAAAUGCUUUUUUGUAUUGUUCCAGAUGGCUGCGCUACCGAACACUGUAGAGGUUAUUUAGUGGCUAAAAUUUAUAUACCUGAAGCCUGACAUAUUAAUGAAAUGGCAUCUUUAUAGAGCUGGGGGUAUAAAAACCACAGAAAAGAAAGAUGUGGUUUUGCUCGAUGGAAGGGUUUAAAAGGCUUCUUGCUAUUGACUAGCUGGGCUGAAGUUUUUUCUAGCAUACGGGCUUGUUUUGUACAGUUUAUGUGGUGGUUUCUUCGUUAGAUUCUCAGUGGUAAUGAGCCCACACAGUUGAUUGCUGCAGGGAGAAAAAAAUCAUUCUGAAUAGGUUUGCUGAAUAAUUAUGAACUGAGCUGAACUCUUACAUUUGCUUACUAAUUGUAUGGUUCGUGAUGUUUUAUGUAUGAUGCAUUCAUUUUGUUAAAAAGGAAUUUUUUUUUUUUUUGCUGAGCAGCAACUUUUCUCAGUGCAAGUUAAACUGGCACAGUGGAAAGAGCUGAAUUCAAGUCUGAUGAAUUGAUGUUGUUUGAAUUAUUUUUUAAAAAACAUCGGCCCCACCAUUUGGUUUUCAGAGCUUGCAAUAUGAAACCCAAAAUUGUGCUAUUGUCUUGAGAGUCGAAAUAAAUGAAUCCCCUCAA
Tyto alba (common barn owl) is the source of this 3705-nucleotide long non-coding RNA. RefSeq lists it as uncharacterized. NCBI's taxonomy places the organism in Eukaryota, Metazoa, Chordata, Aves, Strigiformes, Tytonidae. The record is from RefSeq and is a predicted model, not a curated record. The transcript has 2 exons.